CCAGCCAGCAAUGUUUUUUUAGCCGGCACAGUGGGUCGCCACACGGGAAAUCACACAGAUCCCGGCGCCUUUUCAACAGCAGACUGGAACACUUGGGAGACAGAGUUGACCGUUCAAC
This is a long non-coding RNA of Sapajus apella (tufted capuchin), 118 nucleotides long. RefSeq lists it as uncharacterized. Lineage: Eukaryota; Metazoa; Chordata; Mammalia; Primates; Cebidae. The record is from RefSeq and is a predicted model, not a curated record. The transcript has 3 exons.